AUGUUAUUUUAAAAUGUAAAAAGCAUCUUUAAAAGCAAAUUAAAAAAUCUAUUUUUAUUAUGGAUGUGAACUUUUCUUAUCUCCUUUUCUGAAACUUAUGGGGAGCUCUGGAUUGCACUGCCAACUCAUCGUGGGAACUUCUGGUAGGAGAGGAGCUUCUCAAGGAGUAAUCUUCUGUAAAUCUGCAAAAACAGCAAAUAGGUCGUGUAUUCAAUUGCCUCUCAGUGGGAAGUAAACGGAGUCAAGAGCGUUUUUCUUCGUUACUGUGAAUGUCUACUGUACUUUAUUUGUGAAAGUAAAGAUAAGGAAGCUGUAACAUAGUAUUUGGAGGAAAACGUAGAAUAAGGUUUGAAAAUAACUACAUACCUGAAAGCAAUAUAUCAAUAUGAAUU
This 392-nucleotide long non-coding RNA is filed under the name Manacus vitellinus (golden-collared manakin). RNAcentral's name for it is "lncRNA (ENSMVIG00005004041.1)". Lineage: Eukaryota; Metazoa; Chordata; Aves; Passeriformes; Pipridae. The record is from RNAcentral.